AGUGAACGCUGGCGGUAGGCCUAACACAUGCAAGUCGAACGGCAGCACAGUAAGAGCUUGCUCUUACGGGUGGCGAGUGGCGGACGGGUGAGGAAUACAUCGGAAUCUACUUUUUCGUGGGGGAUAACGUAGGGAAACUUACGCUAAUACCGCAUACGACCUACGGGUGAAAGCAGGGGAUCUUCGGACCUCGCGCGAUUGAAUGAGCCGAUGUCGGAUUAGCUAGUUGGCGGGGUAAAGGCCCACCAAGGCGACGAUCCGUAGCUGGUCUGAGAGGAUGAUCAGACACACUGGAACUGAGACACGGUCCAGACUCCUACGGGAGGCAGCAGUGGGGAAUAUUGGACAAUGGGCGCAAGCCUGAUCCAGCCAUACCGCGUGGGUGAAGAAGGCCUUCGGGUUGUUAAGCCCUUUUGUUGGGAAAGAAAAGCAGCAGGUUAAUACCCCGCUGUUCUGACGGUACCCAAAGAAUAAGCACCGGCUAACUUCGUG
Molecule: ribosomal RNA, 492 nt
Filed under: uncultured bacterium
Lineage: Bacteria
Description: partial 16S ribosomal RNA
Rfam family: Bacterial small subunit ribosomal RNA
Source: RNAcentral